AUUACAUUUCCAUAACAAUGUGGUAAUGUGGGCAGGAUGGUCCAUGUGGUCACUUAAAAACAGCUCCUCAGUGCCUCAGUCCUGCUGGCUGUCGAAUUGAGAAAAUGGAGAAGGUGCAGGAUUGUGUGUUUUAGCGACCACUGACACCAUCUAAAGCACCCCUUGUUUAACUUCCUAUUGUUAUUUUAUCAAGUUAUUUUCAUAUACUUUUAAUGAUUGUAGUAGAGUGUGUAGUAGAAUAGAUGGCAGACAUUUUGUGUCAUAAGCCACUGCCUCUGUUAAGAGAUGGUUGUUCACAGUGGACAUAGGCUGUGUCCCAAUUCAUCAACCGCACGCUUCUUAGUAGUGAUGUGACGUUCUGUAUCAAGGCUUCGAAGCUUGUGUCGAGUAAUUGAGGGGGCGUUUCUGCGAUGCACGUAUCGAGGCUUCAUUUAUAGGAGGAGCUGAAAAUGAUGACGUCCGAAGCCUCGCUGCCCGGCUGUAGCACGUGACUGGUUCAGGAAGUGGUUCGAACUUUGCCGCGAGCUAUGACAGCGAUAUAAACCCCUCAGACUUCAUUCAAAAUUUGGGUGUUUGAUGGAGAGUUGCGGUUAGUGAGAGUUUGGAGGUUGGAGUGAGGAGAGAAAGUCAGGAGAGAAUGGAGCCAGCUAAGAAGAGGAGGAUGUCCUCCCCUGUGUGGGAACAUUUUGAUCUUAUUCCUCCCAACAAGGUAUGUAAAGUUCUACAGAAGAUGUAUUUUCAUAAUACUGAUGGUGCAAUACAAUUUAUUUUAAGCUGUCUUUACUUUUGUACAAGGUGAAGUGUUUGCUAUGUGCCAGGGAGCUCGGAUAUAACAGCAACACCACAUCCAUGCUCAGGCACUACAGAGCUUUGCAUGAGAAUAAGGGGAACACCGAUUGUGGAGCAAGACCAGGAGAACAAUCUCAAAUAGAUGAAGACCUGGUUAGCAUGGUGAUUGAGGACUCCCAGCCAUUUAGCAUUGUGGAGGACAAAGGAUUUAAAAGAUCUGUUCAAUCAUUAAAUCCUAGCUAUGUUCUCCCCACUAAAAAGGUCAUAAAAGCAGUGAAAAUCUAGUUUUUACAGAAUAAAAUGUGAACAGGCAGACAAGCACAACCACUGUCCAUACCCCAACCACACCUCACCUCACAGUAAAUGAUCAUUUCCAUUUCAAGCAUUUCCAAAUAAUCAUGUUCCAUAUUGCCAGUAUAAAUAUACACAGUAUACUGCCAUAACUACAAUAUGCAUGUUUUACACACUCCUGUUGUUGUUGACAUUUACAGGCUGUGUGCAAAAUGCCACACUCUUCAAAUUCAUGCCAACUAAUAUUUUUACGUCCAGUAGAUGUCCUACUAGAGCAAAUGAAGCUUCAAGAAGCUUUGCGCUGGGGUGAACCAAUUAGAUGAAAAGCUUCAGUGCUUCAUGAAGCUUCAUCUGCCCAUCACUACUUCUUAGUGCAACAGACUUUGCAUUUUUGGAAAUUUAUAUUUACCCACAACUUAUAGGGCGAUCGUGGCUCAAGAGUUGGGAGUUCCUCUUGUAAUCGGAAGGUUGCCGGUUCGAGCCCCGGCUCGGACAGUCUCGGUCGUUGUGUCCUUGGGCAAGACACUUCACCUACCGCCUACUGGUGAUGGCCAGAGGAAGGAAUUGUGGAAGUAUGGAAGUGUGGUUGUCACAAUUGAGAGUAAUUCUUCAGAUUAGAAAUAGGUGGAUCUCAGCUUCCCAAUUUCAAUUAAAAUCAAAAACACAAAAAAUCACAGGAGAGGAACAAAGUUCUAUGCCAGCUGUUUUAUUAAACAGUGCAGCUCAGCAAAACAGAAGGAAAAGCAAAGCUCCCCUUGGGUUUUCGCCGUAAGCGCAUGCAGGUUGGGACCAACCCCAACAGACAGACAGCAGGAAAAAGCCCCGAGGUCUUUCCCAGGCCCCCUUUUAAAGGUACCAGUAGUCCCACCUCCUGCUGCUGAGUAACUUUCCCACGUGCCCAGGAACAGCAGGUGCAGGGUCAAGUACAGGCCAGGGUUGAGCCAGGGCUCUGGCUGAGGGCCCUGCCCAAAAGGACACCCUUAGGUUAACCCUUUGCUUUGCCUUUUGACAAUAGGUCACAACAUGGUCAAAGGUCACACAUUAGUACAGUAAACAGCAUAGUUUUUGUGAUAAUCUUAUGAUAGUCAUGUGAAUAAUACUUGACCUAACUGCAUCAAAUAUAUGAGUUAAAUGCUUUACAUAAAAAUAAACACUCCAGUGUAGGUUUAUAGAGUGUGCGUGUACAUGACAGUGAUUUCAUUAUGUUGUUUUCAGCGUCUCUGUUAUCCUGUAAGAGAUACGUAGCAUUUAGUGUGUGUGUGUGUGUGUGUGUGUGUGUGUGUGUGUGUGUGUGUGUGUGUGUGUGUGUCACCGCGUGCCUAAGUUGUUUGAAGACGUUUCACCUCUCAUCCGAGAAGCUUCUUCAGUUCCAGGGUCAAAUGGUGAAGAGUC
Molecule: long non-coding RNA, 2472 nt
Filed under: Oreochromis niloticus (Nile tilapia)
Lineage: Eukaryota; Metazoa; Chordata; Actinopteri; Cichliformes; Cichlidae
Description: lncRNA (ENSONIG00000033875.1)
Source: RNAcentral